GCCCUUGUAGCUCAGAUGGUAGAGCAGCGGUUUUGUAAACCGAAGGUCGCGGGUUCGAUUCCUGCCGGGGGCACCA
This 76-nucleotide transfer RNA is filed under the name Rhodoferax sp. Its description in RNAcentral is "tRNA-Thr". It matches the Rfam family "tRNA". From Rfam's summary of the family: Transfer RNA (tRNA) molecules are approximately 80 nucleotides in length. Their secondary structure includes four short double-helical elements and three loops (D, anti-codon, and T loops). Further hydrogen bonds mediate the characteristic L-shaped molecular structure. tRNAs have two regions of fundamental functional importance: the anti-codon, which is responsible for specific mRNA codon recognition, and the 3' end, to which the tRNAs corresponding amino acid is attached (by aminoacyl-tRNA synthetases). tRNAs cope with the degeneracy of the genetic code in two manners: having more than one tRNA (with a specific anti-codon) for a particular amino acid; and 'wobble' base-pairing, i.e. permitting non-standard base-pairing at the 3rd anti-codon position. RNAcentral also lists the same sequence under 3 other names. Lineage: Bacteria; Pseudomonadati; Pseudomonadota; Betaproteobacteria; Burkholderiales; Comamonadaceae. The record is from RNAcentral.